CCAAUAGCGUAUAUUAAAGUUGUUGCAGUUAAAAAGCUCGUUGUUGAAUCUCGGGAUUGACACAUCGGUCGUGCCCUAAGGGGUAUGAACUGGUGUAGUCAAUUUCUCACCUUCUGGAGAACCGCGAUGCCCUUAAUUGGGUGUCGCGGGGAACCAGGACCUUUACUUUGAAAAAAUUAGAGUGUUUAAAGCAGGCAUUUUGCUUGAAUACAUUAGCAUGGAAUAAUAAAAUAGGACGGCAUGAUUCUAUUUUGUUGGUUUCUAGGAUCACCGUAAUGAUUAAUAGGGAUAGUUGGGGGCAUUAGUAUUCAAUUGUCAGAGGUGAAAUUCUUGGAGUUAUUGAAGACUAACUACUGCGAAAGCAUUUGCCAAGGAUGUUUUCAUUAAUCAAGAACGAAAGUUAGGGGAUCGAAGACGAUCAGAUACCGCCGUAGUCUUAACCAUAAACUAUGCCGACUAGGAAUCAGACGAUGUUAAUUUUUUAAUGACUCGUUUGGCACCUUACG
Molecule: ribosomal RNA, 506 nt
Filed under: uncultured Glomeromycotina
Lineage: Eukaryota; Fungi; Glomeromycota
Description: partial small subunit ribosomal RNA
Rfam family: Eukaryotic small subunit ribosomal RNA
Source: RNAcentral